RNAcentral lists this unclassified non-coding RNA (359 nucleotides) under Hevea brasiliensis (rubber tree). Lineage: Eukaryota; Viridiplantae; Streptophyta; Magnoliopsida; Malpighiales; Euphorbiaceae. The record is from RNAcentral.
CUGUGCAUCUCGAAACCUCGCUCGAAGCUCCCAUUGGGAUUCUGUGGCAAGGCACUGGUUUGGCUGGUGGAGGCACUAAAAACCAGGCCAGAAGGCUGCCCAGAUUUUAUAAUUAUAGAUUGUCCGGCGGGGAUCGAUGCAGGGUUCAUUACGGCCAUAACUCCAGCGAAUGAGGCAGUGCUCGUCACAACCCCCGACAUUACGAGCCUGCGAGACGCGGAUAGAGUGACGGGGCUGUUGGAGUGCGAUGGGAUUAGGGAUAUAAAGAUGGUUGUGAAUAGAGUGAGGACUGAUAUGAUUAAAGGCGAGGACAUGAUGUCAGUGCUGGAUGUGCAGGAGAUGUUGGGGUUGGCGUUGUU